RNAcentral lists this long non-coding RNA (224 nucleotides) under Solanum tuberosum (potato). RNAcentral describes it as "long non-coding RNA (STUB_LNC004604)". The record is from RNAcentral. Lineage: Eukaryota; Viridiplantae; Streptophyta; Magnoliopsida; Solanales; Solanaceae.
UCAAUUUGGGCAUACCUGCUGCAACAUUUGCCUUACAAGUUCCUGUUGGUUUGGGAGCAAUCAUCUUCAACAUUUGCUCCCUAGUGAAGUAUCCUCCUGGAAAGUAUAUAUGUGAUCCUUCUCUUAUUUGUGGUUCAGCAUCAACCUCAUCCCCUACAACAACAUUAUGAGCAUAAGGUCUAGAACCAUCACCUGUCAGUUUUUUCUUACUUUUGAAAUCUGGU